GGAGUUAGCCGGUGCUUCUUCUGUGAGUGAUGUCCUUCCUGCCGGCUAUUAACCCGCAGGCCUUCUUCCUCACUGAAAGUGCUUUACAACCCGAAGGCCUUCUUCACACACGCGGCAUGGCUGGAUCAGGGUUGCCCCCAUUGUCCAAUAUUCCCCACUGCUGCCUCCCGUAGGAGUCUGGGCCGUGUCUCAGUCCCAGUGUGGCUGAUCAUCCUCUCAGACCAGCUACGGAUCGUCGCCUUGGUGAGCCGUUACCUCACCAACCAGCUAAUCCGACAUAGGCUCAUCCGAUAGCGCGAGGCCCGAAGGUCCCCCGCUUUCCCCCGUAGGGCGUAUGCGGUAUUAGCCUGGGUUUCCCCAGGUUAUCCCCCACUACCGGGCAGAUUCCUAUGCAUUACUCACCCGUCCGCCGCUCGCCACCAGGGAGCAAGCUCCCCGUGCUGCCGCUCGACUUGCAUGUGUUAGGCCUGCCGCCAGCGUUCAAUCUGAGCCAGAAUCGAACCCUGA
RNAcentral lists this ribosomal RNA (507 nucleotides) under uncultured bacterium. RNAcentral describes it as "partial 16S ribosomal RNA". The record is from RNAcentral.